UACGUAGGGCGCAAGCGUUAUCCGGAAUUAUUGGGCGUAAAGAGCUCGUAGGCGGUUUGUCGCGUCUGCCGUGAAAGUCCGGGGCUCAACUCCGGAUCUGCGGUGGGUACGGGCAGACUAGAGUGAUGUAGGGGAGACUGGAAUUCCUGGUGUAGCGGUGAAAUGCGUAGAUAUCUGGAGGAAUACCGGUGGCGAAGGCGGCAUCCUGGACCGACAUUGACGCUGAAGCGCGAAAGCUAGGGGAGCAAACGGG
RNAcentral lists this ribosomal RNA (253 nucleotides) under uncultured bacterium. Its description in RNAcentral is "partial 16S ribosomal RNA". It matches the Rfam family "Bacterial small subunit ribosomal RNA", at positions 524 to 776 of the family's 1533-position model. The record is from RNAcentral.